Molecule: long non-coding RNA, 632 nt
Organism: Symphalangus syndactylus (siamang)
Lineage: Eukaryota; Metazoa; Chordata; Mammalia; Primates; Hylobatidae
Source: RefSeq, a predicted model, not a curated record
UGUGCUUUCUGUGAGGAAGUCAAGAGGGUGCCACUCCCAUCCAAGGAUAAUCCUAAUCCCUGACUUCAGCUUCUUGCUAUCUAUGCCAUCUGUAAAGGUUACCUAUCCUUAGACAUAUUAGAAACCAUAUCAGUAACCAUAUGAUAUUUAAAAUCUUGAGAUCAAUUGUGUCAAGUAAAACAAAUUAAAUCAUGCCGGAUACAAAUUAUGAAUUUUUCCAUUAAAGUAUCAUCUUCAGGAAGUACCUCAGGAUCGAAAAGAAAAUAAAGACGUCCCUUCUUCAACUGAAGUGCAAAAUACUCUUCCUGAUUGUCAGGUGAUGCUGCAAAGACAAUCAAACCUUCAGGCACUUUUGUUCGAAAGCUGGCCUUAAUGCCUGAGAAGCCGUACAGUGACCCCAUAGCCCUACACUCAUCUCCUCUGUUAAUGACUCCACAGCUAUAAACGAGGCUUGACUUUGUUCUAUAAAGAAGACCCUCUCAACAGACUAGAUUUCCUUAUCCACAGAAAGCUGGUGUCAGUGGCCUUGCUGCAACCCUGCACCAUAUGAAGUUGCCCUCUGCUAGCCCAGGAACUCUCAUGGUGGUAUUCCACUUGAAAAUCCUCUCUGGGGACACAUGGCACUUCAGAUC